AGCUUGACUCGUGGACAAUCGCAAAUGACCGAAGAGGAAUUCCCUGGGUCGUUAGGAAAAUCAGAAACAUUGAUGAUGUAUGAAGGAAAAGGUGCUCAGGGAAAUGGGUAGGACCUGUGGGAGUAGCAGCAGGUGUAUGGGGGUGCUGUAAGGAGGAUGCAUGGAAGAUGGGAAAAUAGGAUUUUAUAAUCAGAUAGAGGAGGCAGGAAAUAGGUAGGACCUGUGGGAGUAGCAGUAAGUCUAUAGGGUGCUGUAGGGAGGAGCAUCAUUUGGAUGCAUGGAAGAUGGGAAAAUAGGAUUUUAUAAUCAAAUAGAGGAGGUAGAUAUGAUAUUCAAGUGUUAUUUUAAUAUAAUUCAUUUUGGAACUUUGAAAAUUGAUAAUGGGCUGAACCUCCAUAGGCGCUGAAAAAAGGAAACAAAAAUGAAAUAGCUUUCAGAAAAUUUUCCUAUCUUAUCACAGUACCAUUCUAAGGUUCCUAGACCAUCUUAUUAUGAAUAUUUAUUCGAUACACUUGCCUAUCAUCAUGCCAAUAAUACAUAAUUAGUUAUAAUCCACUUGGGGAUUCAUUCAUUCCAAAUGGACACUUAUGUAAAUAAAAAUUUCUUUAAUUUUGGAAUGAUAUCAGGCAUGAUUUUUUAUCUUAUAAUUUAUGGAAAACUUGGUCCUUCACUUAUUUGUCAACUAAUCUUAUCAGGCAUCUAUGAAAUUCCAAAAGAAAUCACAACAUAUUUACCUUAAAAUGAUAAUAAAUCAUUUCAUAAAUUUUAUGUAGUUCACACUUUUCUAGCCAGAAGAGUUUCAACAUUUCUUAAUUGAAUACCUAAUCACCUCAUGUUCAAAUGUUUCAAAUAAGAUUUCACAUAGUACGAUUUACAUGUAAUUAGAGAUCUCGUCAUUUACGUCAGCAUUAAUCUUAUUAUCAUGGAAUUACAAGUGAAAGUGUCCAUAAUAGUCAGAUUGCCCAGUGAUACUGUCUGUGAACUCCACCAAGACAAAUAUAAAUAUUUAAUUAAUGAUAAUUAAAACUAUCAUUUAGAUAAGAUCAAAUCAACUUGUCAUUUACGUUAUCAAUGUACUACUUAUAUUUUCGUGUCUAUGAUUAAAUUUAAUUGUGUUACCCUUAUCAAGUGGACUGUGUAAUUACCUUUCAAUAAUAUAUAAUCAUGUAUUCGUUUCAAAGUCACCAUUACAAAUGCAAAAAUAUUUUUCAACAGAAUUCACUUCUUUCUAAUUGUAAAUGUCAAGUGUUGUUAAUCUUAGAGAAAUUGAAUUACAAUCUUUUAGAUAAUUCUGUUGUUUACUGGUUGGUGAAUGUAUACUAACAUCUUUCCAUACAUUAAUAUUAAUGUCUGCUUAAUUAUAUUUUAAUUUUGCACGUGUACGUUUUAACGUGAAAAAUAUUAAUGACAAAAUGUGGUAUACUAAUAAACAUCUACAUAAGGAUUAUACAUGUUACUUGUCCCUAUUUAAUGUUAUACAGAUUAAAAUUUCUUACGCAUGUUGUCCAAACAUGGGAUUGUUCAACAUCUGUUAUACCAUUCAUUGAUCUCUAAAUCUUGCCAGUUUAUCCCUGAAUGGGUCAACAAUACUAAUUAAUAGGAAAAUCCCCUUAUGAAUUAUUAGCUGAGUAUUCUUUCAAUAACUGUACAAUAAUUGUUCUAUAAUCCUUGUG
This is a long non-coding RNA of Osmia bicornis bicornis, 1673 nucleotides long. RefSeq lists it as uncharacterized. The record is from RefSeq and is a predicted model, not a curated record. The transcript has 3 exons. Lineage: Eukaryota; Metazoa; Arthropoda; Insecta; Hymenoptera; Megachilidae.